This is an RNA transcript of Triticum dicoccoides, 3332 nucleotides long. RefSeq lists it as uncharacterized. The record is from RefSeq and is a predicted model, not a curated record. The transcript has 2 exons. Lineage: Eukaryota; Viridiplantae; Streptophyta; Magnoliopsida; Poales; Poaceae.
AUUCCCUCGCCGCCGCCGCCGCCGCCGCCGCCGCCAAAUCUCCCUGGCCUCUCCGCCGCGCUGCCAUGCUCCUCCGGCUCCGGUGCUCCAUCCUCACCCACCUCAUCUCGUCUCCAUCCGCCUCUCCCGCCUCCCACUUCAGCCGUCUCAUCUCCGCCGCCGCGCCCGCCGUCUCCCCGAACCCUAGCUUCGCGGUGGAGGAGUACCUCGUCGCCACCUGUGGCCUCACCCGACCCCAGGCCCUCAAGGCCUCCGCCAAGCUCUCCCACCUCAAGUCCCCCUCCAAUCCCGACGCCGUCCUCGCCUUCCUCGCAGGCCUCGGCCUCUCCGGCGCCGACGUCGCCGCCCUCGUCGCCAAGGACCCGCUGUUCCUCUGCGCCAAAGUGGACAAGACACUGGGCCCCGUCGUCGUCGGGCUCACCGGCCUCGGCAUCUCGCGUUCUCAGAUCGGGCGCCUCGCCUCGCUCAGCCGCGCCCAGUUCCGCUGUAUAUCCAUCGUCUCAAAUCUGCAAUACUUCCUGCACCUCUUCGGCUCCUUUGAGAAGAUCCUCCCUGCAAUCAGGUACGGCUUAUGCCUUCUCGCAGCCGACCUCGAGACAGUGGUCAAGCCCAAUGUUGCCUUCCUGCGUUCCUGCGGGCUAGGUGACUGUGACAUUGCCAAGUUGUGCAUCGCUGAGCCAUGGCUGCUCGCCUCAAACGUAGAGUGCGUCCGGGCAAUGGCAGCACGCGCCGAAGCUAUUGGUGUGCCCUGUGGCUCUCGGAUGUUCAGGCACGCGCUGAAGGCUGUUGCAUUCCUCAGCAAUGAGAAGAUCGCCGCCAAAGUGGAGCACUUGAAGAAGAUGUUCAGGUGGUCAGAUGCCGAGGUGCGCAUUGCUUUGUCCACGCUUCCAUCUGUGCUGAUGAGGUCUAACCAUAUGCUGGAGAGCAAGUCAGAGUUCCUAAUCUCCAAGGUGGGGUUUGAACCAGCAUACAUUGCUCAUCAUCCGGCAUUGCUCACAUACAGCCUGGAGGGCCGGAUCAUACCCCGGUACUAUGUUGUAAAGUUUCUCAAGGAAAAUGGACUGCUGGAUCACAACCGGAGCUACUAUUCUGCAGUCAUUGUGAUGGAGAAAGUAUUCGUGGACAAGUACAUAUCCCCUCACAAGGAAGUUGCACCAUACCUUGCUGAAGACUAUGAUGCCGCUUGCAGAGGGGAAGUGCCGACUAGAUUCAAAUUUACAUGAAAAUUGGUAACACUACGGCACAACGAUAUUUUUUACAUUCCGUGUUAUGCUAUUCAUUCCUGAUUUGGUGUUCUUGGCCUAACUGAAUUGUAGCUGUCUGCUAUUGAUAAUCGUUCGUUACAUGCUGAUUUGAUUGUGCUAGUCUAGGAUGAAAUUGGCAAUUUGAUUUGAGAGUAUUGGUAUGCUCAUUAUGACAUUCAAUUAGAGAAGAAAGCACCGUACUACUAGCUUGUGCACUCUAAGGUUGCAUUGACAUACAUAUUGGAUUUACGGGAAUCUUUGUGAAAACCAUGGAGCGGCUGCUCCAGCCAUGGAUACCCUUCAUUUCCACCUCGAGAUAGGAGCCAUGUCAGAAAAAGCAAUGCAAAGUACUAAGCACUCUCUGACACAUAUCCCCACAACAUUACGUUUGAAAUGGAUGGUGUCCAAGAGUGGAGCAGUGGUUUCAUGUAGCUAAAAAAGUCUCUCUAAAACUAAUGGAAUUAAAGAGAGCGAGAGCAGGACAUUCUGCAAAUACUUUGAAGUAUCUUUAUGUUCUCAAAUGACCAUAGCAUUUUCAGGUGCACCUCAAUCUAUCUUUUCAUGAAAGAAGGUUCUCAUUUUGGCCAAAGAUGACAUGGACUUUUAAAUUUUCUCCGGAUGAAAGUAUGUUUGUCACUCCCAAGGAUUCAGUUUGGAUCUAGUAUGUUGGUUGCUUGCUCUAGUUCUUCUAAGAUGAAAAUCUGCGUUCAUCCAGCAGUAGGUUUGCUUAUAAAACUGUUGUGAAAGCAAGUCAUUGUGUACUACUCACUAGUUUGUAUCAGUUUUUCCCCUUAUAUUCUUUGAUUGAUGGCCUACUGGUUUGAUAUAUUUUUCAUAUGGCUUCUGAUGUCAGAACUGAAUAGUGCAUUAGUUGGCUAGUAGCAUUUUUGUUAUCGACUUAUCCAUGUAGAACUAUGUAACGGGCAUUUUGGAGGCCCUGGUAUUUGUACUGCAGAGGCAAAGCAGGGGACAUUUCAUAUAACAGAACUUUUGUCAAGUUAAUCUUAAAACCAAAGAUGUGCUGAAACUGGAUGCAGAUGCAUGGUGUUCCCUUCUUGUUCUUCCAGGAGAUCGACGAAGCAGGGCGCUCGGACUCUGCUAUCAUAUAUGUGAUUCUGAAGGUAUUUGUGGACUUGACGCCUUGCGUGAAGAAGCUCCUAAUUUUGUCCUUUUGGAUUUUGCAAUUUUAGUAAACCUUCUUUCUAGAAAUUCUGAAUCAGAAUCAGAUCUGAUUAGUUAACUCUGAAUCUUUCGGCCACCAAGUGAAGAUGUCUGUAGUAACUGCUUAAAUGUUAUAGCCAUGUUUGUUUUACUCGAAUCAGAGCUGCAAAAUAAACACGAAUCUUACAACAAAGUUGGUCAUUAAUGCUAAUACGGCAAGAACGUGUUGUUUUGUAUUCAGCAAAUGCUUCAAGUAUCAUUGAUGAGUACAUUUGCACACUAUGUUCCCGAUGUCCGUUGCAGUUUGCACUGCAAUCCUCAAUCUUUUUUUCAGUGAAUAAAUGUCAUUAUUUAUGCCCAGCAAAUGGCUAGAGUAUGUACUCUCGGUUUAGUGUGGUAUCCAUUGUACCUAGAUUGAUCUCAGGUGUUAUACUAACAUUUGUAGUCUAUACUAUAUCAAACCAGAGUUACUUUAGGCAUUAACAAACGCAAACUGGCUUCCACUAUAUGGAAUUUGUUUUUUAGUGUUGAAGAAAUAUAUCUUGAGAGUUCAGAACUAUGCCAAGCUUCUACUACUGACCGUUAUGAAAGAAAAUAUUAAUGCCGGAUAUUGAAAUAACAUUUAUGGUGCUUUUUUGGGGUGGGGGAUCGGUGCUCCAUGCAAAUUUGCAUGCAUGUAGAACACAGGAAUAUGUAUGUUAUUACAAAUAUUUGUAUAAUAUUAUUGUUUUUUACUUUAUUAUUCAUAGGGUGCACCAGAGCUCGGUAGAAACACCUUCCUACUUGUUAUUUCGGUGUGUUGAUGCUGAACUUAUUAUUUAAAAAAAGCUAUGGAAAAUGAUAUAACAUUUACUUUUGCACCCUCCAUUAGUCUCCCGUCUCUCGGUAUUUCCCCUUAAAUCCACAAAACAUUUAGUGUUCAAUUGU